This 456-nucleotide ribosomal RNA is filed under the name Montagnula striatispora. RNAcentral describes it as "LSU rRNA". It matches the Rfam family "Eukaryotic large subunit ribosomal RNA", at positions 72 to 534 of the family's 3401-position model. The record is from RNAcentral. Lineage: Eukaryota; Fungi; Ascomycota; Dothideomycetes; Pleosporales; Didymosphaeriaceae.
GGAUUGCCCUAGUAACGGCGAGUGAAGCGCAACAGCUCAAAUUUGAAAUCUGGCCCUCUUCGGGGGUCCGAGUUGUAAUUUGUAGAGGGUGCUUUGGCAUGGGCGGCGGUCUAAGUUCCUUGGAACAGGACAUCGCAGAGGGUGAGAAUCCCGUAUGUGGGCGCCUGCUUUGCCGUGUAAAGCCCCUUCGACGAGUCGAGUUGUUUGGGAAUGCAGCUCUAAAUGGGAGGUAAAUUUCUUCUAAAGCUAAAUACCGGCCAGAGACCGAUAGCGCACAAGUAGAGUGAUCGAAAGAUGAAAAGUACUUUGGAAAGAGAGUCAAAUAGCACGUGAAAUUGUUGAAAGGGAAGCGCUUGCAGCCAGACGUGCCCGCAGUUGCUCACCCCGGCUCUCGCGGCGCACUCUUCUGCGGGCAGGCCAGCAUCAGUUUGGGCGGUCGGAUAAAGGCCUCUGUCA